Long non-coding RNA from Cotesia glomerata, 1304 nucleotides. RefSeq lists it as uncharacterized. The transcript has 2 exons. The record is from RefSeq and is a predicted model, not a curated record. Lineage: Eukaryota; Metazoa; Arthropoda; Insecta; Hymenoptera; Braconidae.
UGGACAUGCCCAACACACUCUUUUUUUUCUACGACUGGAUCAUCAUCAUACGGGUUGAUAUCAAGAAUACCUUUAAAUGUCUUGGAGUCUCCAUCUCCAAUAUAUUUUAUGUACUUUACCCCGUGCUUCUCGACCGAUCUGUUGAACAUCUCGACAACAGCAUCUACCUCCAUUUUCCCAGCACUUCCCCGAUGAUUGAUGGCACAUGAAUCUUCAUGUUCCUCAUACCAAUCUUGAUAAGCUUGAGGAUCAGAUUUCUUCUUUUCUUUCCACAAGUUACAGCCUUGGCAAAAACUAGAUUUUACGACAGUAUCGAUAACUUUUUUACUGUAUUUACCAAUAAGGGUUGUAACGCCAAAAAGUGAAGUAAACCCUCGCUUCUUCCAGGUGCCAUCUCCAGAAACCGUCAAGUGUUUUGGAUUUUCAUUAGACUCAAAUUCUGAUAAUAAUUCUUGCUCUUCUUUUACAGCUUUUGAUAUUAGCUGAUCGUAAAUUGCACUUGCGGCUGUAUGUAAAUUAUCAAGACAACUGUAGUAGCACACACAAUUAAAGUUGAGAGAGUUUGAAAAACUGAGAAAAAUUCCAGAAGACAGUACCCAAAAUUUUUGUUAAUAACUAUUUCCUCAUCUCCAAACUUUUUUAACUUUGCUGCGGAAGCACUCGUAUAACUACAAUCUUUUUCAGCGGUAAAUUGAUUUGAUGAAAAUCGUUUCUUCUUGUGCCUAUCUAGACGACUACUGCUCCCCCGCGCACUUUUUCUAUCCAUUUUUAAGCAAAUAAAAAAAACAAAAUUUAUUAUUUCACAAAACUAUCCACAGAGCACUUGUCUACUUCGCUUCAAGAUUGAAACUAAACUGAACAGACUAAUAAAUGAUAAACAAUAUCAACAUUAUAACUUUCGCAUUGAACAGUUCCUGGUAUAUUUAGUAUGUAUAUUCCUAGUAUAUUAAGUAUGUAUAAAGGUAUAUAUAGAAGUAUAAAAAUAUAUAUUGAAUAUAUAUGAAGGCUUAUGUCGAAAACAAAAGAGUUCUUGGAAAGAACGAGUGCUCAAGUCUUCCAGGAACUGCCACUGUUUAUUGUGUGAUUCGCGACGAUCGGCCGGUUUAGAUGCUGCGUGACAAAAUCGACUGUAUCUUCGAAAAUAAUUCGAAUUUUGAAAAAUCCAUUUAAGGACAUAUUUUUAAGGGUCUAAACUUGGAAAUUUUGCAAAAAAAAAAUCGAUUUUUUCAAAUUUCUAGACCAGAAUACCCCCUUAAGGGGGUAUUCUGGUCUAGAAGCCUAAAUUUUAGGCAUUUUUCAAACUA